UACGUAGGGUGCGAGCGUUGUCCGGAAUUAUUGGGCGUAAAGAGCUCGUAGGCGGUGUGUCGCGUCGGUCGUGAAAACUUUCAGCUUAACUGGGAGCGUGCGGUCGAUACGGGCAUCACUGGAGUUCGGCAGGGGAGACUGGAAUUCCUGGUGUAGCGGUGAAAUGCGUAGAUAUCAGGAGGAACACCUGUGGUGUAGACAGCUUACUGGACCACUUCUGACGCUGAGACACGAAAGCGUGGGUAGCAAACAGG
Molecule: ribosomal RNA, 254 nt
Filed under: uncultured prokaryote
Description: partial 16S ribosomal RNA
Rfam family: Bacterial small subunit ribosomal RNA
Source: RNAcentral